RNAcentral lists this ribosomal RNA (433 nucleotides) under uncultured bacterium. Its description in RNAcentral is "partial 16S ribosomal RNA". It matches the Rfam family "Bacterial small subunit ribosomal RNA", at positions 29 to 507 of the family's 1533-position model. The record is from RNAcentral.
AACGAACGCUGGCGGCAUGCCUAACACAUGCAAGUCGAACGAGACCUUCGGGUCUAGUGGCGCACGGGUGCGUAACGCGUGGGAAUCUGCCCUUGGGUUCGGAAUAACAGUUGGAAACGACUGCUAAUACCGGAUGAUGACGUAAGUCCAAAGAUUUAUCGCCCAAGGAUGAGCCCGCGUAGGAUUAGCUAGUUGGUGAGGUAAAGGCUCACCAAGGCGACGAUCCUUAGCUGGUCAGAGAGGAUGAUCAGCCACACUGGGACUGAGACACGGCCCAGACUCCUACGGGAGGCAGCAGUGGGGAAUAUUGGACGAUGGGCGAAAGCCUGAUCCAGCAAUGCCGCGUGAGUGAUGAAGGCCUUAGGGUUGUAAAGCUCUUUUACCCGGGAUGAUAAUGACAGUACCGGGAGAAUAAGCUCCGGCUAACUCCGUG